Molecule: long non-coding RNA, 240 nt
Filed under: Bos taurus (domestic cattle)
Lineage: Eukaryota; Metazoa; Chordata; Mammalia; Artiodactyla; Bovidae
Description: long non-coding RNA NONBTAT009078
Source: RNAcentral
UUAAGAUAUUAAUCAUAUAACUUUUCUUCUCAAAAUGAAAAGCUUCUUAUCAUUUUAUUUCAUAGAUAAAAGUCACAUUAACAUUCCUGGGAAUAAACUUUAUUACCAGGGUUUUAAAAUGCAUAAAAGAUAAAUGUAGUAGUACUUGCAGGUAAAUAUGGAGAUUGAGGGAAAAGGAAUUCUUAGGAAAAAUCCUAUAUCCUACCUAGAGUACCUCUUAAGCUCCCUCUGCUGGCUACC